GGUAUAGACCCGAAACCCGGUGAUCUAGCCAUGGGCAGGUUGAAGGUUGGGUAACACUAACUGGAGGACCGAACCGACUAAUGUUGAAAAAUUAGCGGAUGACUUGUGGCUGGGGGUGAAAGGCCAAUCAAACCGGGAGAUAGCUGGUUCUCCCCGAAAUCUAUUUAGGUAGAGCCUUGAGCGGACACCUUCGGGGGUAGAGCACUGUUUCGGCUAGGGGUCCAUCCCGGAUUACCAACCCGAUGCAAACUACGAAUACCGAAGAGUGAUACUCAGGAGACACACGGCGGGUGCUAACGUCCGUCGUGGAGAGGGAAACAACCCAGACCGCCAGCUAAGGUCCCAAAGUCUAUAUUAAGUGGGAAACGAAGUGGGAAGGCUUAGACAGCUAGGAUGUUGGCUUAGAAGCAGCCAUCAUUUAAAGAAAGCGUAAUAGCUCACUAGUCGAGUCGGCCUGCGCGGAAGAUGUAACGGGGCUCAAAUAUAGCACCGAAGCUGCGGCAUCAGACGAAAGUCUGUUGGGUAGGGGAGCGUUCUGUAAGCGGAUGAAGGUGGCUCGAGAGGGCUGCUGGACGUAUCAGAAGUGCGAAUGCUGACAUAAGUAACGAUAAAACGGGUGAAAAACCCGUUCGCCGGAAGACCAAGGGUUCCUGUCCAACGUUAAUCGGGGCAGGGUGAGUCGGCCCCUAAGGCGAGGCUGAAAAGCGUAGUCGAUGGGAAACGGGUUAAUAUUCCCGUACUUGGAUAAACUGCGAUGUGGGGACGGAGCAGGUUAGGUUAUCGCACUGUUGGAUAUGUGCGUUUAAGUUGGUAGGUGAGAAGUUUAGGCAAAUCCGGACUUCUUUAACACCGAGAGAUGAUGACGAGGCUCUACGGAGCUGAAGUAACCGAUACCACACUUCCAGGAAAAGCCACUAAGCUUCAGGUUUAUCUAAACCGUACUGAAAACCGACACAGGUGGUCAGGUAGAGAAUACUCAGGCGCUUGAGAGAACUCGGGUGAAGGAACUAGGCAAAAUAGCACCGUAACUUCGGGAGAAGGUGCGCCGGCGUAGAUUGUAGUCCCUAGCGGGCGAAGGUUGAACCGGUCGAAGAUACCAGCUGGCUGCAACUGUUUAUUAAAAACACAGCACUCUGCAAACACGAAAGUGGACGUAUAGGGUGUGAUGCCUGCCCGGUGCUGGAAGGUUAAUUGAUGGUGUAAUCGAAAGAGAAGCUCCUGAUCGAAGCCCCAGUAAACGGCGGCCGUAACUAUAACGGUCCUAAGGUAGCGAAAUUCCUUGUCGGGUAAGUUCCGACCUGCACGAAUGGCAUAAUGAUGGCCAGGCUGUCUCCACCCGAGACUCAGUGAAAUUGAAAUCGCCGUGAAGAUGCGGUGUACCCGCGGCUAGACGGAAAGACCCCGUGAACCUUUACUAUAGCUUGACACUGAACAUUGAAUUUUGAUGUGUAGGAUAGGUGGGAGACUUAGAAGUAGUCACGCCAGUGAUUAUGGAGUCGACCUUGAAAUACCACCCUUUAACGUUUGAUGUUCUAACGAAGAUUACGAAACGUGGUCUCGGACAGUGUCUGGUGGGUAGUUUGACUGGGGCGGUCUCCUCCCAAAGAGUAACGGAGGAGCACGAAGGUUUGCUAAUGACGGUCGGACAUCGUCAGGUUAGUGCAAUGGUAUAAGCAAGCUUAACUGCGAGACAGACAAGUCGAGCAGGUACGAAAGUAGGUCAUAGUGAUCCGGUGGUUCUGAAUGGAAGGGCCAUCGCUCAACGGAUAAAAGGUACUCCGGGGAUAACAGGCUGAUACCGCCCAAGAGUUCAUAUCGACGGCGGUGUUUGGCACCUCGAUGUCGGCUCAUCACAUCCUGGGGCUGAAGUAGGUCCCAAGGGUAUGGCUGUUCGCCAUUUAAAGUGGUACGCGAGCUGGGUUUAGAACGUCGUGAGACAGUUCGGUCCCUAUCUGCCGUGGGCG
Molecule: ribosomal RNA, 1964 nt
Filed under: human gut metagenome
Description: bacterial LSU rRNA
Rfam family: Bacterial large subunit ribosomal RNA
Source: RNAcentral